UCUGUUGUUCUCUAGCUGGUUGACACUGGGCCAAGUUGUGUCUAACUUAUGAAUAAACAUUUGGUCCCCUUCAACCAGUUAUAGUCAACAAAUACA
Molecule: microRNA precursor, 96 nt
Filed under: Helobdella robusta
Lineage: Eukaryota; Metazoa; Annelida; Clitellata; Rhynchobdellida; Glossiphoniidae
Description: mir-133 microRNA precursor family
Rfam family: mir-133 microRNA precursor family
About the family: mir-133 was first experimentally characterised in mouse and homologues have since been discovered in several other species. The mature sequence is excised from the 3' arm of the hairpin.
Source: RNAcentral